This 477-nucleotide ribosomal RNA is filed under the name Candidatus Brocadia fulgida. RNAcentral's name for it is "bacterial SSU rRNA". It matches the Rfam family "Bacterial small subunit ribosomal RNA", at positions 365 to 832 of the family's 1533-position model. The record is from RNAcentral. Lineage: Bacteria; Pseudomonadati; Planctomycetota; Candidatus Brocadiia; Candidatus Brocadiales; Candidatus Brocadiaceae.
UUCGCAAUGCCCGAAAGGGUGACGAAGCGACGCCGCGUGCGGGAAGAAGGCCUUCGGGUUGUAAACCGCUGUCGGGAGUUAAGAAAUGUAAGGAUGUUAAUAGCAUCUUUGCUUGACUAAGGCUCCGGAGGAAGCCACGGCUAACUCUGUGCCAGCAGCCGCGGUAAUACAGAGGCGGCAAGCGUUGUUCGGAAUUAUUGGGCGUAAAGAGCACGUAGGCGGCCUUGUAAGUCAGUUGUGAAAGCCUUCUGCUCAACGGAAGAACAGCAUCUGAUACUGCAAGGCUAGAGUGCGGAAGGGGAGAGUGGAACUUCUGGUGGAGCGGUGAAAUGCGUAGAUAUCAGAAGGAACACCGGCGGCGAAGGCGACUCUCUGGUCCGUAACUGACGCUGAGUGUGCGAAAGCUAGGGGAGCAAACGGGAUUAGAUACCCCGGUAGUCCUAGCCGUAAACGAUGGGCACUAAGUAGAGGGGUUUU